Molecule: small nucleolar RNA, 108 nt
Organism: Cynara cardunculus var. scolymus (artichoke)
Lineage: Eukaryota; Viridiplantae; Streptophyta; Magnoliopsida; Asterales; Asteraceae
Source: RefSeq, a predicted model, not a curated record
AUGUCAUUGUAAUGGCAUUUUCUUAACAGCUCUUUGAACCUAUCACAUGCAUCAAGGAACUGCUUCAUCGUCCAUUUGUUUAAAAAGACAGAUUUCAUUUCGGGACUU